UACGAAGGGGGCUAGCGUUGCUCGGAAUCACUGGGCGUAAAGCGCACGUAGGCGGACUCUUAAGUCGGUGGUGAAAUCCUGGAGCUCAACUCCAGAACUGCCUUCGAUACUGAGAGUCUCGAGUCCGGGAGAGGUGAGUGGAACUGCGAGUGUAGAGGUGAAAUUCGUAGAUAUUCGCAAGAACACCAGUGGCGAAGGCGGCUCACUGGCCCGGUACUGACGCUGAGGUGGCGAAAAGCGUGGGGAG
Molecule: ribosomal RNA, 247 nt
Filed under: uncultured bacterium
Lineage: Bacteria
Description: partial 16S ribosomal RNA
Rfam family: Bacterial small subunit ribosomal RNA
Source: RNAcentral